GGCCUCAUGGUCUAGUGGGUAAGCAUCACCAACACCACAUCUCCUCAAUACACAUCUCUAACAUUCAUCCAGUAUGAUUCUUGCUUUGGGUUCUAAACUCAAACUUGCAAGAGGCCCCGCGUUCGAAUCGCGGUGGGGCCC
Non-coding RNA from Curvularia kusanoi, 141 nucleotides. The record is from the annotation of a GenBank genome assembly. NCBI's taxonomy places the organism in Eukaryota, Fungi, Ascomycota, Dothideomycetes, Pleosporales, Pleosporaceae.